Molecule: ribosomal RNA, 514 nt
Filed under: uncultured Halorubrum sp.
Lineage: Archaea; Methanobacteriati; Methanobacteriota; Halobacteria; Halobacteriales; Haloferacaceae
Description: bacterial SSU rRNA
Rfam family: Archaeal small subunit ribosomal RNA
Source: RNAcentral
CUGCACGACAGUGCGAUAGGGGGAUCCCAAGUGCACAGGCAUAGCGCCUGUGCUUUUCGGCACCCUAAGGCGGUGCCAGAAUAAGGGCUGGGCAAGACCGGUGCCAGCCGCCGCGGUAAUACCGGCAGCCCAAGUGAUGGCCGAUCUUAUUGGGCCUSCGCAAAGCGUCCGUAGCUGGCCGCGCAAGUCCAUCGGGSCGCAAAUCCACCUGCUCAACAGGUGGGCGCCCGGUAGSCGCAAACUGCGUGGCUUGGGACCGGAAGGCGCGACGGGUACGUCCGGGGUAGGAGUGSCGCAAAUCCCGUAAUCCUGGACGGACCGCCGAUGGCGSCGCAAAGCACGUCGCGAGAACGGAUCCGACAGUGAGGGACGSCGCAAAGCCAGGGUCUCGAACCGGAUUAGAUACCCGGGUAGUCCUGGCCGUSCGCAAACAAUGUCUGCUAGGUGUGGCUCCCACUACGAGUGGGUGCUGUGCCGUAGGGAAGCCGCUAAGCAGACCGCCUGGGAAGUACGU